Molecule: ribosomal RNA, 497 nt
Filed under: uncultured bacterium
Lineage: Bacteria
Description: partial 16S ribosomal RNA
Rfam family: Bacterial small subunit ribosomal RNA
Source: RNAcentral
GAUGAACGCUGGCGGCGUGCCUAAUACAUGCAAGUCGAGCGAACAGAUAAGGAGCUUGCUCCUUUGACGUUAGCGGCGGACGGGUGAGUAACACGUGGGUAACCUACCUAUAAGACUGGAAUAACUCCGGGAAACCGGUGCUAAUGCCGGAUAACAUUUAGAACCGCAUGGUUCUAAAGUGAAAGAUGGUUUUGCUAUCACUUAUAGAUGGACCCGCGCCGUAUUAGCUAGUUGGUAAGGUAACGGCUUACCAAGGCAACGAUACGUAGCCGACCUGAGAGGGUGAUCGGCCACACUGGAACUGAGACACGGUCCAGACUCCUACGGGAGGCAGCAGUAGGGAAUCUUCCGCAAUGGGCGAAAGCCUGACGGAGCAACGCCGCGUGAGUGAUGAAGGCCUUCGGAUCGUAAAACUCUGUUAUUAGGGAAGAACAAAUGUGUAAGUAACUGUGCACGUCUUGACGGUACCUAAUCAGAAAGCCACGGCUAACUACGUG